GAUGAACGCUGGCGGCGUGCCUAACACAUGCAAGUCGAGCGUGAACCCUUAGAAUGAGACUUCGGUCGAAUGAAGAGGGGGAAAGCGGCGGACGGGUGAGUAACGCGUAGGCAACCUGCCCCGUACAGAGGGAUAACCUCGGGAAACCGGGAUUAAAACCUCAUAACACCAUGGUAUCACAUGAUGCAAUGGUCAAAGAUUUAUCGGUAUGGGAUGGGCCUGCGUCUGAUUAGCUGGUUGGUGGGGUAACGGCCUACCAAGGCAACGAUCAGUAGCCGACCUGAGAGGGUAAUCGGCCACAUUGGAACUGAGACACGGUCCAAACUCCUACGGGAGGCAGCAGUGGGGAAUAUUGCACAAUGGGCGAAAGCCUGAUGCAGCAACGCCGCGUGAGCGAAGAAGGCCUUUGGGUCGUAAAGCUCUGUCGGGAAGGAAGAUAAUGACGGUACUUCCCGAGGAAGCCCCGGCUAACUACGUGCCAGCAGCCGCGGUAAAACGUCUA
This 502-nucleotide ribosomal RNA is filed under the name uncultured bacterium. RNAcentral describes it as "bacterial SSU rRNA". It matches the Rfam family "Bacterial small subunit ribosomal RNA", at positions 28 to 531 of the family's 1533-position model. The record is from RNAcentral.